GCUGGAGUGGUGAAAUUGGUAUACACGCCUGCCUUAGGAGCAGGUCCCUUCGGGGGUGGAGGUUCAAGUCCUCUCUCCAGCACCA
Molecule: transfer RNA, 85 nt
Filed under: Minisyncoccota bacterium
Lineage: Bacteria; Bacillati; Minisyncoccota
Description: tRNA-Leu
Rfam family: tRNA
About the family: Transfer RNA (tRNA) molecules are approximately 80 nucleotides in length.
Source: RNAcentral